RNAcentral lists this ribosomal RNA (1416 nucleotides) under Streptococcus salivarius. RNAcentral's name for it is "bacterial SSU rRNA". It matches the Rfam family "Bacterial small subunit ribosomal RNA". RNAcentral also lists the same sequence under 1 other name. The record is from RNAcentral. Lineage: Bacteria; Bacillati; Bacillota; Bacilli; Lactobacillales; Streptococcaceae.
AAAAUUUUGGGGAAAGGGUAGGAAAUCCCCUUUGAGGGGGGGAAAAUUUUGGAAACAAAGGCUAUCCCGGCAACCCAUGGAUGCCCCAUGUCAUUUAUUUGAAAGGGGCAAUUGCUCCACUACAAGAUGGACCUGCGUUGUAUUAGCUAGUAGGUAGGGAACCGGUCACCUAGGGGACGAUACAAAGCCGACCUGAAAGGGUUAUCGGCCACACUGGGACUGAGACACGGCCCAGACUCCUACGGGAGGCAGCAGUAGGGAAUCUUCGGCAAUGGGGGCAACCCUGACCGAGCAACGCCGCGUGAGUGAAGAAGGUUUUCGGAUCGUAAAGCUCUGUUGUAAGUCAAGAACGAGUGUGAGAGUGGAAAGUUCACACUGUGACGGUAGCUUACCAGAAAGGGACGGCUAACUACGUGCCAGCAGCCGCGGUAAUACGUAGGUCCCGAGCGUUGUCCGGAUUUAUUGGGCGUAAAGCGAGCGCAGGCGGUUUGAUAAGUCUGAAGUUAAAGGCUGUGGCUCAACCAUAGUUCGCUUUGGAAACUGUCAAACUUGAGUGCAGAAGGGGAGAGUGGAAUUCCAUGUGUAGCGGUGAAAUGCGUAGAUAUAUGGAGGAACACCGGUGGCGAAAGCGGCUCUCUGGUCUGUAACUGACGCUGAGGCUCGAAAGCGUGGGGAGCGAACAGGAUUAGAUACCCUGGUAGUCCACGCCGUAAACGAUGAGUGCUAGGUGUUGGAUCCUUUCCGGGAUUCAGUGCCGCAGCUAACGCAUUAAGCACUCCGCCUGGGGAGUACGACCGCAAGGUUGAAACUCAAAGGAAUUGACGGGGGCCCGCACAAGCGGUGGAGCAUGUGGUUUAAUUCGAAGCAACGCGAAGAACCUUACCAGGUCUUGACAUCCCGAUGCUAUUUCUAGAGAUAGAAAGUUACUUCGGUACAUCGGUGACAGGUGGUGCAUGGUUGUCGUCAGCUCGUGUCGUGAGAUGUUGGGUUAAGUCCCGCAACGAGCGCAACCCCUAUUGUUAGUUGCCAUCAUUCAGUUGGGCACUCUAGCGAGACUGCCGGUAAUAAACCGGAGGAAGGUGGGGAUGACGUCAAAUCAUCAUGCCCCUUAUGACCUGGGCUACACACGUGCUACAAUGGUUGGUACAACGAGUUGCGAGUCGGUGACGGCAAGCUAAUCUCUUAAAGCCAAUCUCAGUUCGGAUUGUAGGCUGCAACUCGCCUACAUGAAGUCGGAAUCGCUAGUAAUCGCGGAUCAGCACGCCGCGGUGAAUACGUUCCCGGGCCUUGUACACACCGCCCGUCACACCACGAGAGUUUGUAACACCCGAAGUCGGUGAGGUAACCUUUUGGAGCCAGCCGCCUAAGGUGGGAUAGAUGAUUGGGGUGAAGUCGUAACAAGGUAGCCUUCAGCCU